Molecule: non-coding RNA, 547 nt
Organism: Paramisgurnus dabryanus
Lineage: Eukaryota; Metazoa; Chordata; Actinopteri; Cypriniformes; Cobitidae
Source: RefSeq, a predicted model, not a curated record
UUUUUUUUGGAAGAAGCAGUGCACAUCAACCAUGUUGUAAGCAUUCAAGGAUGAGACAAAACGGCAGGAGAAAGAAGUGCAGAACAUCGUAGUACAUCUUGAUGUUGCCAGAUGCUGUCCUGUUAGAAAUUCUUCUUCACGUGGUCCUGGAGGAGGGUGAUGCUGCAUUGUUAAAUCUCUCUUUGGUUUGAUCCAAAUUCAGAAGUCUGGUGGACAGGUACACUUCUGAUGGCUUGAUGGUGUAACUAAAUGGGGAACAAAGUCUGAGCCAUCCCAGGAAUUUUAGAAAAUGUUUACACUGCAGCCGGCACUGCAAUGAAGUGUACAAUAACUGCUUACCAGGCUAUGUUGGAAGAGGAAAACGAGGAGAGAUGCAAGGCUUUUACUCCGAAAACACCCAUCCAGGGUUUUGCAGUUAGUGGUGCAUGAUGCUACAGGAGGAAUAACUCUGUAUAACACAUCUUCUAAAAGUUAAUGUGUGUGUGCGUGUGCGUGCGUGCGUGUGUGUGUGUGUGUGUGUAUGAAGAAGUUUCUUUGUCUCCGAGCU